This 402-nucleotide ribosomal RNA is filed under the name uncultured prokaryote. RNAcentral's name for it is "bacterial SSU rRNA". It matches the Rfam family "Bacterial small subunit ribosomal RNA", at positions 355 to 774 of the family's 1533-position model. The record is from RNAcentral.
UGGGGAAUAUUGCACAAUGGGGGAAACCCUGAUGCAGCAACGCCGCGUGAGUGAUGAAGGUCUUCGGAUUGUAAAGCUCUGUCUUUAGGGACGAUAAUGACGGUACCUAAGGAGGAAGCCACGGCUAACUACGUGCCAGCAGCCGCGGUAAUACGUAGGUGGCAAGCGUUAUCCGGAUUUACUGGGCGUAAAGGGAGCGUAGGCGGAUAUUUAAGUGGGAUGUGAAAUACCCGAGCUUAACUUGGGAGCUGCAUUCCAAACUGGAUAUCUAGAGUGCAGGAGAGGAGAAUGGAAUUCCUAGUGUAGCGGUGAAAUGCGUAGAGAUUAGGAAGAACACCAGUGGCGAAGGCGAUUCUCUGGACUGUAACUGACGCUGAGGCUCGAAAGCGUGGGGAGCAAACA